Molecule: ribosomal RNA, 509 nt
Filed under: uncultured glomeraceous AM fungus
Lineage: Eukaryota; Fungi; Glomeromycota; Glomeromycetes; Glomerales; Glomeraceae
Description: SSU rRNA
Rfam family: Eukaryotic small subunit ribosomal RNA
Source: RNAcentral
AGCAGCCGCGGUAAUUCCAGCUCCAAUAGCGUAUAUUAAAGUUGUUGCAGUUAAAAAGCUCGUAGUUGAAUUUCGGGAUCAAUGUUUCGGUCAUGCCCUUGGUAUGUACUGAUAUUAUUGGUUUCUCACCUUCUAAAGAACCGUAAUGCCAUUAAUUUGGUGUCACGGGGAAUUAGGACUGUUACCUUGAAAAAAUUAGAGUGUUUAAAGCAGGCUCACGCUUGAAUACAUUAGCGUGGAAUAAUGAAAUAGGACAUCCGAUUCUAUUUUGUUGGUUUCUAGGAUCGAUGUAAUGAUUAAUAGGGAUAGUUGGGGGCAUUAGUAUUCAAUUGUCAGAGGUGAAAUUCUUGGAUUUAUUGAAGACUAACUACUGCGAAAGCAUUUGCCAAGGAUGUUUUCAUUAAUCAAGAACGAAAGUUAGGGGAUCGAAGACGAUCAGAUACCGUCGUAGUCUUAACCAUAAACUAUGCCGACUAGGGAUCGGAUGAUGUUAAUUUUUUAAUGACUCA